GAUGAAGAGAGGGAUGGAUGGAUGGAUGGAUCUCCCCUCCACCGAUCGGGGUUUUGUGUUCGCGCGCUGCCUCCGACUCACAAGCCGAGGGAUGAGGCGAGCAGCAGGCAACGUGAUCCUGACUGGAUAAUCCAGAUUCUCAUCCUCGGGAUAAUCUGCUGCUGCUGCUUUAAUCAAACAGCAGCUAAUGGAGCGAGCUGACGAUCAACAGAGGUUCACUUGAGUCACUGCUCAGUCAGCCAGUCUCACUUCUUCAUCGACCAGUGGAGAGUCGACUGGUCUUCGAGGGCAAACUGGGCUGAGAGUGAAGUUCCAGGUCACAGAACCGAAUGUACACAACUGAACCUGUGGGAGAAUACGACCCGUGGAGUUUAAUGGAGAAACGAUUUUAAGACGUGACACUGAACUGAAUACACAGUUUAGAGUGUCGUGAGGCCGGCUGACUGCUCCAGGCCACUUCCACACCAGUGGAGUGUUUGAAGAAAGAGUCAAACAUCCCUCACACCGAGUUUGUCCUGACGUGAACUGGACGAUAACUGCUCCUCAGAUCAGUUUUCAGCUUCUAACUCAGAUUUCUAACCAACUUGUUUCUGUUAAUAAUGUGUAAAACACUCUAAGGGGAAGUAUCCAGUAGAAAGAUCUGCUUGUGAAUCCAGGAAAUAAAAAACAGUCAGUUUUC
Platichthys flesus (European flounder) is the source of this 679-nucleotide long non-coding RNA. RefSeq lists it as uncharacterized. NCBI's taxonomy places the organism in Eukaryota, Metazoa, Chordata, Actinopteri, Pleuronectiformes, Pleuronectidae. The transcript has 3 exons. The record is from RefSeq and is a predicted model, not a curated record.